Molecule: small nuclear RNA, 159 nt
Organism: Carcharodon carcharias (great white shark)
Lineage: Eukaryota; Metazoa; Chordata; Chondrichthyes; Lamniformes; Lamnidae
Product: U1 spliceosomal RNA
Exons: 1
Source: RefSeq, a predicted model, not a curated record
CCAGUUAUGAAGGGGAGGAACAAUGAUCACGAGGGUUGUGCGCCCAUGAUGAGGGCUAUCGCAUUGUACUCUGGGUGUGCUGAUGCCUGGGAUGUCCCUUAACGUGGUAUACUUGAAUGCAAAAUUUGUGGUAGGAGGGUGAGCAGUUUUGGAGCGGUU